CCCCUAGAUGUUCUGGGCCGCACGCGCGCUACACUGAACAGUUCAACAAGUCUUAACCUUGGCCGAUAGGUCUGGGUAAUCUUUGAACGCUGUUCGUGAUUGGGAUAGACCUUUGCAAUUAUGGGUAUUCAACGAGGAAUUCCUAGUAAACGCAAGUCAUCAGCUUGCAUUGAUUACGUCCCUGCCCUUUGUACACACCGCCCGUCGCACCUACCGAUUGAAUGGUCCGGUGAAAUCUCGGGACGGCGGCUUGGUCGCUUGCGUCCGACUGCUGAAACUUGAUUAAACCAUAUCAUUUAGAGGAAGGUGAANUCGUANCA
Molecule: ribosomal RNA, 320 nt
Filed under: uncultured eukaryote
Lineage: Eukaryota
Description: partial 18S ribosomal RNA
Rfam family: Eukaryotic small subunit ribosomal RNA
Source: RNAcentral